UUAAAAUUUUUUUCAAAUUUUAUUCUACUAUUAUUUCAUUUCCAUUGUAAUAAGAAUAAAUUAUUAAGAAAGAAAAAAAAGAAAAAAGAAAUUGAUCUGAGAAUCGAUUUACCUUAAGAUCUGCAAAAUUAGAAAUUAUAUGUUUAAUAUUAAGGGCCCACAAUCCACUUGCCACCAUACUAUUUCCAUCUCUAUCCAUUCUCAUUAGAUAGAAUGAAUUCUGAAUUAAGAUAUGUGUUCGCAGCUAUUCUCAGAGGUAUAAGUGUCUUUCUACAUUCACAAUUCACAAGAAGCUAUACUCUUUUGAAGAACUACAUUAUGCACGGUCGUAUCCAGUUCUGGGACCUUUACCAUCUCUCGAUGGUCUUCAAAACUGUAGACCAUGGAUUAAAGAGAAUAUAAUUUGGCCCCAGGAUAGCCAGCUUCGAUCCUGAUCAACUUGACUAUUGGCCAACUACUUACUAUUUGAGUGGCUGCUUCAUUUUGAGCACUGGAUACAUAAAAGUGUGAAGUUCGUCGUUUCUACGUCUACGUCAUGGUGAACGACAGUUUCAAGGAAUUCAAAUAUCUUCUUCGCUUCUCUUCAUCCUCUUUACGGCUACUCUCUGAGAUUCGCGCGAGACUUCUGCCAUUAAGUUGUAUCUCUUUAGUUCUUUUUCUCGUUGAAGAUCAUCGUCGGCUUUCGAAAGAAUGAAAGAUAAAAAAAGGACAAAAUAAAUCGUAGCCAUGUUGGUUAAAGGAAUCGUCUCGAGGUUCACUAAGUUACUUUCUUCUUUGUCUUUCAUUAACUUCCAUUCUUCUUCUUAGAAUCUGGAGCAUGUUUCUCUGGCUUUGGACUAUUCAUAGAAAGAUUUCUAGAGAUAAAAAGUACAUUUAGAAUCAAAAUUUUGAUUUUUUUUUAUCUUUCAUUGUAAUAAUGAAGUAUCUUUCUUUAAACUGAUUUACAAAUGUUUAACAAUUUUUCUCAUUUUUAUCAUUUAAUUUCUAUUGAUGAAAGAAAAACAUUAAAAAAAAUUUGAUUCGAAUUGUCUAGAUCUAAUCUAUGAAAGAAAUCUGAUGCACCACUGAAAAAAAUGUUGAGUCAAAGAUUGAAGCGAAAAAAUGAAAAUUACAAAGGAAUUAUCGAAAAAAAUUAAGUUAUGAUUGUUUAAAAUGCAUUGAAAGAUAA
This is a long non-coding RNA of Apis florea (little honeybee), 1168 nucleotides long. The record is from RefSeq and is a predicted model, not a curated record. Lineage: Eukaryota; Metazoa; Arthropoda; Insecta; Hymenoptera; Apidae.